Molecule: ribosomal RNA, 467 nt
Filed under: uncultured bacterium
Lineage: Bacteria
Description: partial 16S ribosomal RNA
Rfam family: Bacterial small subunit ribosomal RNA
Source: RNAcentral
GACGAACGCUGGCGGCGUGCUUAACACAUGCAAGUCGAACGGAAAGGCCCUGCUUUUGUGGGGUGCUCGAGUGGCGAACGGGUGAGUAACACGUGAGUAACCUGCCCUUGACUUUGGGAUAACUUCAGGAAACUGGGGCUAAUACCGGAUAGGAGCUCCUGCUGCAUGGUGGGGGUUGGAAAGUUUCGGCGGUUGGGGAUGGACUCGCGGCUUAUCAGCUUGUUGGUGGGGUAGUGGCUUACCAAGGCUUUGACGGGUAGCCGGCCUGAGAGGGUGACCGGCCAAAUUGGGACUGAGAUACGGCCCAGACUCCUACGGGAGGCAGCAGUGGGGAAUAUUGCACAAUGGGCGGAAGCCUGAUGCAGCAACGCCGCGUGCGGGAUGACGGCCUUCGGGUUGUAAACCGCUUUCGCCUGUGACGAAGCGUGAGUGACGGGAAUGGGUAAAGAAGCACCGGCGAACUACGU